AAUUAUUGGGCGUAAAGAGCUCGUAGGCGGUUUGUCGCGUCUGCCGUGAAAGUCCGGGGCUUAACUCCGGAUCUGCGGUGGGUACGGGCAGACUUGAGUGAUGUAGGGGAGACUGGAAUUCCUGGUGUAGCGGUGAAAUGCGCAGAUAUCAGGAGGAACACCGAUGGCGAAGGCAGGUCUCUGGGCAUUAACUGACGCUGAGGAGCGAAAGCAUGGGGAGCGAACAGGAUUAGAUACCCUGGUAGUCCAUGCCGUAAACGUUGGGCACUAGGUGUGGGGGACAUUCCACGUUUUCCGCGCCGUAGCUAACGCAUUAAGUGCCCCGCCUGGGGAGUACGGCCGCAAGGCUAAAACUCAAAGGAAUUGACGGGGGCCCGCACAAGCGGCGGAGCAUGCGGAUUAAUUCGAUGCAACGCGAAGAACCUUACCAAGGCUUGACAUGAACCGGAACGGCGCAGAGAUGUGUCGGCCACUUGUGGCCGGUUUACAGGUGGUGCAUGGUUGUCGUCAGCUCGUGUCGUGAGAUGUUGGGUUAAGUCCCGCAACGAGCGCAACCCUCGUUCCAUGUUGCCAGCGGGUUAUGCCGGGGACUCAUGGGAGACUGCCGGGGUCAACUCGGAGGAAGGUGGGGACGACGUCAAAUCAUCAUGCCCCUUAUGUCUUGGGCUUCACGCAUGCUACAAUGGCCGGUACAAAGGGUUGCGAUGCUGUGAGGUGGAGCUAAUCCCAAAAAGCCGGUCUCAGUUCGGAUUGAGGUCUGCAACUCGACCUCAUGAAGUCGGAGUCGCUAGUAAUCGCAGAUCAGCAACGCUGCGGUGAAUACGUUCCCGGGCCUUGUACACACCGCCCGUCAAGUCACGAAAGUUGGUAACACCCGAAGCCGGUGGCCUAACCCCUUGGGGAGGGAGCC
RNAcentral lists this ribosomal RNA (910 nucleotides) under Arthrobacter tumbae. Its description in RNAcentral is "bacterial SSU rRNA". It matches the Rfam family "Bacterial small subunit ribosomal RNA", at positions 549 to 1454 of the family's 1533-position model. The record is from RNAcentral. Lineage: Bacteria; Bacillati; Actinomycetota; Actinomycetes; Micrococcales; Micrococcaceae.